Molecule: ribosomal RNA, 467 nt
Filed under: uncultured bacterium
Lineage: Bacteria
Description: partial 16S ribosomal RNA
Rfam family: Bacterial small subunit ribosomal RNA
Source: RNAcentral
ACGAACGCUGGCGGCGUGCUUAACACAUGCAAGUCCAACGGAAAGGCCCUGCUUUUGUGGGGUGCUCGAGUGGCGAACGGGUGAGUAACACGUGAGUAACCUGCCCUUGACUUUGGGAUAACUUCAGGAAACUGGGGCUAAUACCGGAUAGGAGCUCCUGCUGCAUGGUGGGGGUUGGAAAGUUUCGGCGGUUGGGGAUGGACUCGCGGCUUAUCAGCUUGUUGGUGGGGUAGUGGCUUACCAAGGCUUUGACGGGUAGCCGGCCUGAGAGGGUGACCGGCCACAUUGGGACUGAGAUACGGCCCAGACUCCUACGGGAGGCAGCAGUGGGGAAUAUUGCACAAUGGGCGGAAGCCUGAUGCAGCAACGCCGCGUGCGGGAUGACGGCCUUCGGGUUGUAAACCGCUUUCGCCUGUGACGAAGCGUGAGUGACGGUAAUGGGUAAAGAAGCACCGGCUAACUACGUG